This 253-nucleotide ribosomal RNA is filed under the name uncultured bacterium. Its description in RNAcentral is "partial 16S ribosomal RNA". It matches the Rfam family "Bacterial small subunit ribosomal RNA", at positions 524 to 776 of the family's 1533-position model. The record is from RNAcentral.
UACGGAGGGUGCAAGCGUUAUCCGGAUUUACUGGGUUUAAAGGGUGCGUAGGUGGGUAGGUAAGUCAGUGGUGAAAUCUUCAAGCUUAACUUGGAAACUGCCAUUGAUACUAUUUAUCUUGAAUACUUUGGAGGUAAGCGGAAUAUGUCAUGUAGCGGUGAAAUGCUUAGAUAUGACAUAGAACACCAAUUGCGAAGGCAGCUUACUACACAGUUAUUGACACUGAGGCGCGAAAGCUAGGGGAGCAAACGGG